UAUGAACGCUGGCGGCGUGCCUAAUACAUGCAAGUCGAGCGAACGGACGAGAAGCUUGCUUCUCUGAUGUUAGCGGCGGACGGGUGAGUAACACGUGGAUAACCUACCUAUAAGACUGGGAUAACUUCGGGAAACCGUAGCUAAUACCGGAUAAUAUUUUGAACCGCAUGGUUCAAAAGUGAAAGACGGUCUUGCUGCCACUUAUAGAUGGAUCCGCGCUGCAUUAGCUAGUUGGUAAGGUAACGGCUUACCAAGGCAACGAUGCAUAGCCGACCUGAGAGGGUGACCGGCCACACUGGAACUGAGACACGGUCCAGACUCCUACGGGAGGCAGCAGUAGGGAAUCUUCCGCAAUGGGCGAAAGCCUGACGGAGCAACGCCGCGUGAGUGAUGAAGGUCUUCGGAUCGUAAAACUCUGUUAUUAGGGAAGAACAUAUGUGUAAGUAACUGUGCACAUCUUGACGGUACCUAAUCAGAAAGCCACGGCUAACUACGUG
RNAcentral lists this ribosomal RNA (497 nucleotides) under uncultured bacterium. Its description in RNAcentral is "partial 16S ribosomal RNA". It matches the Rfam family "Bacterial small subunit ribosomal RNA", at positions 29 to 507 of the family's 1533-position model. The record is from RNAcentral.